This is a long non-coding RNA of Thalassophryne amazonica, 167 nucleotides long. RefSeq lists it as uncharacterized. NCBI's taxonomy places the organism in Eukaryota, Metazoa, Chordata, Actinopteri, Batrachoidiformes, Batrachoididae. The record is from RefSeq and is a predicted model, not a curated record. The transcript has 3 exons.
CUGUGCGUGUUUGGGGUCGAUCUUGCUGAAAUGUCCACCCUCAUCUGAUCUUCAUUAUCCUGGCAGAUGGCAGAUUUUUAUCAAGAAUGUCUCAGUACAUUUUACAUUCAUCCUUCUUCAAUUAUAUGAUGUUUGCCAAUGCCGAUGCUGAAAAACAGCCCCACAAC